AUUGAACGCUGGCGGCAGGCCUAACACAUGCAAGUCGAACGGUAACAGGGAUCAGCUUGCUGAUUCGCUGACGAGUGGCGGACGGGUGAGUAAUGUCUGGGAAACUGCCUGAUGGAGGGGGAUAACUACUGGAAGCGGUAGCUAAUACCGCAUAACGUCGCAAGACCAAAGAGGGGGACCUUCGGGCCUCUUGCCAUCGGAUGUGCCCAGAUGGGAUUAGCUAGUAGGUGGGGUAACGGCUCACCUAGGCGACGAUCCCUAGCUGGUCUGAGAGGAUGACCAGCCACACUGGAACUGAGACACGGUCCAGACUCCUACGGGAGGCAGCAGUGGGGAAUAUUGCACAAUGGGCGCAAACCUGAUGCAGCCAUGCCGCGUGUAUGAAGAAGGCCUUCGGGUUGUAAAGUACUUUCAGCGGGGAGGAAGGGAGUAAAGUUAAUACCUUUGCUCAUUGACGUUACCCGCAGAAGAAGCACCGGCUAACUCCGUG
This 490-nucleotide ribosomal RNA is filed under the name uncultured bacterium. Its description in RNAcentral is "partial 16S ribosomal RNA". It matches the Rfam family "Bacterial small subunit ribosomal RNA", at positions 30 to 507 of the family's 1533-position model. The record is from RNAcentral.